GCCUGGGUGGCUCAGUUGGUUAAGCAUCUGACUUCGGUUCAGAUCAUGAUCUCAAGGUUCAUGGGUUCAAACCCAUAUUGGGCU
RNAcentral lists this transfer RNA (84 nucleotides) under Felis catus (domestic cat). It matches the Rfam family "tRNA". Rfam says of the family: Transfer RNA (tRNA) molecules are approximately 80 nucleotides in length. Their secondary structure includes four short double-helical elements and three loops (D, anti-codon, and T loops). The record is from Rfam by way of RNAcentral. Lineage: Eukaryota; Metazoa; Chordata; Mammalia; Carnivora; Felidae.